AUCCAUCAUUCGUCUAAUGCAGUCGUUAUAUCGAGCUGCUGAACUUUAUGAAAGCUUUGGUGUCGGUGUUAGGGGUAGUUUCAAGGUCAGGAGGGUGGAGUGGAGGUCAUCGUGGCACCUAUGUUGUGCGGUGAACUCUUGAACGGUGGCUUCGUCAGUGCCGGAGCAUUACCGGCCCUUCCUAGUGGUCUUUUAGGGCUUUGGUUGCCUGGCUGUCUACGAGCUACCAGCCCUCGUCUCCAAACCUCCCCUUACCUACCCCUUCUUGCCGAGCUCUUGGCUACGGGUCAGUUGGAUCUUCGUGAUUGCCUGAUGGACCUGGCAAAGAGAAAUCUUCAAACACGCGGCACCAAUGGUGUCGCAGACCUCGACCUCGAUCUUCAUGCCGACGAUAUCGAUGAGAAUGUCUUCCUUGAAAAUGGAUUGCUUUCCUUCGAGAAUCCGAAUUAUCAUUUGGAUCCGGCACGUUUGGAUGAUGCAUUGAACAGCAACGGAAAUGGCAGCUCCCUCUAUGACGAAUUGUAUCAAGAAUUAGUUGGCAAUGGCGGCAGGGGUGGAGAAGUCACUGGUGGCGGCGGUGGUGGUGGUGGAGGUGGUGGUGGUGGUGGUGGUGGCGGAGGAGGGGGUGGUACGAGAGUUCAAGCACGCAGGACUUAUGCGAGCUUAGAUCUGGGCAGCAUGGGGGUUGACGUCACCCAGGGUCCCCUCACCCUGGAUUCCGUGACCGAGGACGCAGCUGACAAUACGGACAACCAUAACCUAGGGUACAGCAGCGAGGGUGUGACGGAGUCAGCUUUGGUCGACGACACCCUCAACGGGAAUCCUCGACCAUCGUCCCCGUCGUCCUCGCCGCCUUCCACGUCUACGUCAUCAUCGAUCCUACCACCUAGAUCUUCUUUGCUCCAGCAAACAGGAUCUACCGUCAACGCUGCGGAUAAAUCCGCUACGAGAAUUUAUUGCGAGAAAGCCGAUAACGAAACAACAGAGAUGGGUGGUGUACCACAUGUCGAGGGUGGCUUGAACAGCGAGCUCUAUGCUGUACCUGUUAAACGGAGACAGCCAAAGGAUCAAAAAAACAAUUCCGCAUUGCAGAAUAAUGUUCAAGACAAGGCACCGAACGAAGUUGACACGAACGAUUCCGAGGACAAGGAUGAAAACUUGCCACCCGGUUGGCAAAAGCACGAAGACGAAAACGGUCCUUACUACUGGCACGUUAAAAGUGGAAACAUUCAAAGGGAACCGCCUGAAGCACCGUUGCAUAACAAAACUGAGAAUCGUAGAAGCUUGGUCAAGGACAACGACAGCAUAAAUAAUUUUCAUGGUCUUGGUGGUAUGGUUAACACCGUAACACGUAGCAACACAAGCUCGGCUCUUGAUCAGGAAUUGGAGAACAAAAGGAAGGUCGAACUAGCACUUAAACGAAGAAGCUAUCCAGCCAGAGCUGAUUCUGAAGGUAGGGACAAGCCGAUUAGAUUCGCUGUACGAUCGUUAGGCUGGACCGAAAUCGCUGAGGAGGAUCUAACACCUGAAAGAUCUAGCAAAGCGGUUAACAAAUGCAUCGUUGAUCUAUCACUCGGUAGAAACGAUCUACUCGACGUCGUUGGACGAUGGGGUGAUGGAAAGGAUUUGUUCAUGGACCUAGACGAGGGAGCCCUAAAACUAAUAGAUCCAGAAAAUCUGACGGUACUGAACACUCAGCCAAUUCACACGGUCAGAGUUUGGGGUGUUGGAAGAGAUCACUGCCGUGAGAGGGACUUUGCUUAUGUAGCAAGAGACAGGUCAACUCGAAAGCAUAUGUGUCACGUGUUCCGUUGCGACAUCCCAGCACGUACGAUCGCAAAUACUCUUCGUGACAUAUGUAAGAAGAUCAUGAUCGAACGAUCACAACAUCAGAAUCUAGCUAAGCCUGUUGAUAUCAAUGGUCGAACGAGCCUGGCGACGAGACCGACGAAUUUACCAACUGAACAUCGACGUUUUCACAGAAAUGGACAGGCCCUAGUCACACAAUCAUUUCCAACGCCAAUGGAAGAACCAAAGAAAGUAUUAAAGGCACAAUAUCUUGGCUCGAUGCAGGUCACUUCGGCAACUGGUAUGGAAGUGUUAAAUGAUGCGAUAGAUCAUAUCGUAUCAAACACACCAUUGAAUCAAUGGAGAAACGUUAACGUUGCAGUAGCACCUAGCAUGAUCUCUAUACUCACACCAAACGACGACAAGUUGAUCACCGAAUGUCGAGUUCGUUACUUGUCCUUCCUUGGUAUUGGUCGUAACGUUAAACAAUGCGCUUUCAUCAUGCAUACAGCCCAAGAUCUUUUCAUCGCACAUGUCUUCAACUGUGAGCCUAGCAGUGGUGCUCUCUGCAAAACGAUCGAAGCAGCAUGCAAGCUGAGGUAUCAGAAAUGUUUGGACGCACAUCCCCAAGGAUUCAGAAACGCAACUAGCCUGAACACACCGAGUGGUAGGGGAUUAGGAGCGACCUUGAAAUCGCUCGUUGGUUCUCUCACUGGUCGUAGAAAUAAACAAGGCGAAUCCUGAGACGAGGCUCUCUCGCUGCAGGUAAAUUGCUCGGGCCGACACUGCUCGAGGAGACCACGGGCUCCAUCCUAACUCGUAAGGAACUCUGGCCACUGCCUGCUGAGCGAGAGGUGAUCAGACACAGACACCUGCAAUCACCUUUGACCUUGAAAUAUUUCGGAGGUUCACCCCCAAGCGCAUCAUUGAGGUCCCUCCUAUCCCCGUCUUUAGACAGCAGACGUAUCCAAUUAGCUCGUUGGGAAAGUAAUCCCUAAAGGAAAGAGAGAAAAGAAAAACAAGGAAAGAAAAUGAACAGAAAAAAAAAAACAAGAAAACCAUAAACCCCACACGUAAACAGAAUACAUACAUACGUACAUACAUACAUACAUACAUAUAUACAUAUAUAUAUAUACACUCAUACACAUACACACACACACACACACGAAUACACUAUUAAUCGCAAAAGACGAUUAAUGAUUUGUCGAACGAGUUAAUUUUUCAUGUAAUAAUCUCUUUAAAAAUUGAUAUAAAAACGACUGAAUCAAUCGUGAA
Vespula pensylvanica (western yellowjacket) is the source of this 3063-nucleotide RNA transcript. It is a transcript of the gene named protein Fe65 homolog, with no coding region annotated. The record is from RefSeq and is a predicted model, not a curated record. The transcript is spliced from 15 exons. NCBI's taxonomy places the organism in Eukaryota, Metazoa, Arthropoda, Insecta, Hymenoptera, Vespidae.